RNAcentral lists this long non-coding RNA (707 nucleotides) under Salvia miltiorrhiza (redroot sage). RNAcentral describes it as "long non-coding RNA (SMIL_LNC006240)". Lineage: Eukaryota; Viridiplantae; Streptophyta; Magnoliopsida; Lamiales; Lamiaceae. The record is from RNAcentral.
CACGAUCUGCCCAAAUCUUUCCCUUCCAAAUUACACGCCUCCAUUAACCCCCACUUCUAGUCUCAUUCUCUCUCUCUCUAAUCUCUCAAUUUCGCAAAGCUGCUGUUCGGUGGAGGGUGACGACUUCACGGCUGAGUCGAAGAAGAGAACCAUGGGAAAGUGCUCGUGGUGGCGGACGAAGAGACUGGUGUAGUGUAUUCGCGGUUGCAUGCGGCGGCGGCCUCCGAUUAGCCCCAAUUUUUGAAAGAAUUCAUUCUCUGUCCUUUGAUAUGAUCUUCACCGCCGCCGCCUCUUGAGAAAUUUUUAGCCCCUGAUCUUCGCACUACUUUCCCGAUUGGAGAUAAAGGCAACCGAUACCAAGACUUUGGAAUAAUUUAUUUUCACAUUUGAUUUAAUAUUUUUUAUUGUGUAAAUUAGGUGAUAGAAUAGAGAUAUAGUGCGCACCAACUUUUUUUGAUGAAAUAUGCUUCUGAAUCAUCUUCAUACCACUAUUGAAUGUAUAAUCAUGUUAGUCUUUCUUCACGUGUUUUUUUCUCUUUUGCCGAAUUGCUUAAAUUUUGGAAUUUUGGGGAUAUGUGUGUAAAUCUGAUCUUUAUUAUGUGUGGUCAUGUCAUAUUUGUUUAUUAUUCAUAAAUUAUUUAUGAGUAUCAUAUAAAUUAUUCAACAAACUUUAUUCCUUAUUCACAUAAAUAUGAUUUUUAUUCGAU